This 3660-nucleotide long non-coding RNA is filed under the name Canis lupus familiaris (dog). Its description in RNAcentral is "lncRNA (ENSCAFG00000055337.1)". Lineage: Eukaryota; Metazoa; Chordata; Mammalia; Carnivora; Canidae. The record is from RNAcentral.
UUUCAUUAGUUGUGAAAUAUAUUAAGGAGAAAUGUAACAGCAUGCUUCAGAUAAUAUAAUUUAAUGUAGGCAGACAAACUGAGACUAAUUAUGGGGUUAGGUUUUCCCAGGAAAUAUUUAUUUAAUUAAUUUCCACAAUUUAAAAAUUAGUCCUGCGAGGAUUUCCUGAUUCUCUGCCUUCAGUAAAGCAGGACCUUCUCUUUUUUCAAGCCAUAACUUUUUUAUAGAACUUUAUUGUUAAUUACACCAUGAAGUAUUUUUUCUUACUCUCAAUAUUUCUGUGGUAACCAAAUGAGAAACUUGUUUCUAUAUUAUUUUGAAUUUUUCUCCAUUUUUUCAUGGUAUCCUUGUUUUCCCUUGGACUUCAUUACAAGGUUUUAGACUCCCAUGUUUAUUGCUGGACCCCUCCUUGCCACCUGAUGUAUAUUUGUGUGUCUGUAGAUAACCAGGUAAUAAGUAAUGUUGUUCAACUUCUGAAUGAUAGUUCAGUGAGUCAAAUAGAUAUCUACAUCUACAUCUGUAAGAACAUGAUAUUUCCAAAAUAAUAAUAAAAUAUUAAUGUUUUCUAUAUGGCUGUGUAUAUGUGAUGGUAAAAAGUCAUGCCUAUUAUAAUUUCAAAAAUUAAAUAUUUGAUGGCAUUUUGUGCCUGGAAGCAAAGAAACUAACUUCAUAAUGGCUUUUAUUACAUGUUUUCCAGUGACUACUUUGAUAUCAUUUGAAUUAAGAUGUAUGUAAUAGAAACACUGCCUUACUCGCCAACUUUGCAUUUCUAAGUGAAGAUAUAUUCCCCUCUCUUCUCUUCCUCCCUCAGCUUAAAAUUAACCCCAUUUGGGGGAGCAUUAUUAAAGUUCUCUUGUAGGAUUCUUACAUGUAGAUGUGAGUAUAUCAAGAAACUAGCAUAGAACAUAGCACAUGAUAAGUAAUCAUUAGUUUUAAUUUUUGUUCCACAUUCCACCUUUAAAGUUUAUAUACCAAGCUUUGAGAUGAAAUUAUUUGGCUAGUACCACUUUAAUCAGCUUGUAUUUGGAGUUAGUUUAUUCUCCAUAUUCUACAAAAUCAAAAUUAAGAUUUGCUUUUUAUUAGACUUUGGAGAUCCUGUUACAUUUGGAUCUCAUGGAUUUUAGAUGAAAAAUAGACCUACGGAUCAUGUAGUUCAUUACACAGAUGGGGAGUUGUUACCAAUGGGCAUCUUGAAGUGACAUCAUACAGCCUGGUAGCUGGGGAGACAGAUACAGAAAUCAGGUCUUCUAACUUCUUGUUUAAUGUCCUUUUUAGUGCAACAUACUUCCCCUGAGUUGGAUUGAUAAACGGUUCCUUGCUGAUGUUCAGAAAUCUCUAACAUAUUUGUGGAUAAUGUUAUAGUAGCUAUUUUGAGUAUCACCCCAGAAGUUAAGAUAACAAAAGACAGAUUUAAUUUGCAUAUGCUUUUUAUGUGUAAAUUACUUCACUAUUUACAACUUUUUUUUCCUCUAAUAAUAGGUCUCUGUUAUUUUGGUUUUUGUAGUUUUUUCAAGUGGGAUGAGGGAUGGAGACAAUCCUAAUAAUUCAAGAGGUGGGAAACAAAUAAGGAAAAGAAAGAAUGUUUCAUCCUUACUCACCUACCUACUUUGAUAUUUUCUUCAGGGAUUAUAAAUCCAUUAUUUCUACCGUUAAUAAUAGUUUGCUCUUCAGAUAAGCUACAAACUCUGUAGAGGUUAAAACUUUCAAUAUACAACUGUGGCUGUUUGUUCACCACAGUGCAUCGCCAGGUAAACUUUAACCAAAAGCCCAAGAGACUGAAUAUUUUAAUCCUACAGAAGCAGUUUUGUUCGCUGGCAAAACAGUACCUGGAUUUUGAGUAUUUCUCAAAGGAGCUAGGCUGGGAAUUUAAAAUAUGUUAGAGCUCCUCAAGGGGCAUAGAACAUCUGCUGGACUGUAAUCUAAUAAAACAGAAUUGGACAAAGAUGAGGUCUCUGACAUAUGCUGGUGCUGGACUUAUACUUGAACAGCUCAAGCAGUUUUGCUUUGAUAAACUGAUCAAGACAAUGGACUUGUGGAAGCUGCCUCGCCAGGACAGCUGGACGCUACCUUCUGGGUUCUGCUCCCUGGUCCCCUUGCAGUUGAAUUUCAUGGAAUUUUAUCAUGUCCCAAACAUACAGUCUAAGAGCUGAGCUCCCUUACCAUUUGUAUUUGAUAGAUUCUUCCAUCUGAGUCUGGGGAUAAAUAUGAGGAAUUUAACCAAGUGGAAAUUGAAUAGCAUAGCAAAGGGAAAUGUGGAUUCAAACUUUGAAAAGUUUCAUGUUCAAGGUUUUCCACCUCCAUCUUUUUUAUUUUAAGCAAACCUUUCAAGCUAUCUUAUGUCCAUGAUUUUCUUGUAAAAUACAGCAAUAACAAUUCCCACUGUUUUUUAAAUCCAAAGUAUUUGAAAGUUCAUACCCUCUGCAGGAUAAUGGAAAUCAUAGUAGUUCCUUGUGAUCUUCUUUUUUGAAUGGAGGAGGGCAUUAGGUUGUUUGGGCUACUGUAACAAAAUAACACCAAAAGGGUGGUAUAAACAGCAGUACUUUAUUAUCUCACAGAUCUGAAUGCCAGACAUCCCAGAUCAAGGUGCCGGGUUGGGUCCUUCUGAGAGAUGUGAAAGAUAGUCUGCUCUAGGCCUUUCUCUUGGCUUCUGGUAGUUUGCUAUCAUUGUUUUUUGCUCUUUGGUGUAUAGAAGCAUCACCCUCAUCUUUACCUCCCUCUUUACACGUGUAUUCCCUGUGUGUAUGUCCAAAUUGCCGUUUUUAGAAAAGACGUGACGUCACAUUGGAUCAGGAGUCUAGAGCAUUCUACUGCAUUAUGAGCACAUCUUAACUCUUUAGGUCACACCUUGAGGUACUGGAAAUGAACUUCAACAUAUGAAUUUGACAGAGGGGAGAAACAUUUCAACCUACAAUGGAGGAUCAUGGGAAUUUUUUAAAAACUUCCUUUACUUAGUGUCCUUUUCAGUGAUUGGGAAAUUUGGGAUUACCGUAUUAUUCUGUAUCCUUCUGUUCCUUCAUUCCUACUCUCUGUAUAAACCCCAAACCACCUCCUAAUGCAUUCAAUUUAUAAUAUCAAAGUAGGAGACUAUGUAGAGAGAUCAGCAUUAGAAUGAAAGAUUGUAAAUCAGACUUAGAAUAUUAAUGGCCUAUGCUAAUCUGACCGCCAAAACUAUUUAGGUCAGUUUCUGAAAAUCACUAAGUAAUGUACCAAAACCUGAUAACCGUUUUUGUAUUUUUCAUUUGCGAAAACUUCCAUUUAUGUCAUCUCACUUAAACCAACAUAGUUCCUAUUUAAAGAUGUAGAAAUUGAAGUUCAGAGGUGAUAUAAUGCCAAAGGUCAUUUGUGUAGUUACCUGGGUUACAUACAACCUGGGUUACAUUUUAUGAGAGAUUAUAAAUCCAUGUCUUGAGUUCUUUAUGCUCUCAUGUCAUGUUCUCUUUAGAAAAUGUAGGUAGGUAGGUUUGUGACUCAUACAGGUCUCAAAUAAAGACCAGUGAAAUUGAAGAGUGGACCCUGUAAGUGCAGAUUGUUUGUAUCAUACUUUCAAUUUCUUCACUUUUCCACAUCAAAUGUUUCUGAUUCUUAUUAUCUAUCACUAGUGCUAUGGUUCACAUAGAUUAUGAGAAGAAAUAUUUCAUUUUUUAAAUCAUUUUUCUUCUG